RNAcentral lists this ribosomal RNA (119 nucleotides) under Mus pahari (shrew mouse). The record is from RNAcentral. Lineage: Eukaryota; Metazoa; Chordata; Mammalia; Rodentia; Muridae.
GUCUACAGCCAUACCACCCUGAAUGCACCUGAUCCCGUCUGAUCUUGGAUGCUAAGCAGGGUCGGUCCCGGUUAGUACUUGGAUGGGAGACCACCUGGGAAUACUGGGUACUGUAGGCU